Molecule: long non-coding RNA, 554 nt
Filed under: Rattus norvegicus (Norway rat)
Lineage: Eukaryota; Metazoa; Chordata; Mammalia; Rodentia; Muridae
Description: long non-coding RNA NONRATT006586
Source: RNAcentral
GCAGCCGCUGCUGCAUAUGCUCCUGGUGUUUGCUCAUCAACAGAAGGAAGGCACAGACAAGCUAUUCUCACUCACCCUUUCGAGGAAAAGAAUUGAAACCCAUCAAAAGCAAGAACUGCUUCCAGAAUCUUCUUCAGCAAGGGAGGAGAGUCAGAAGCUGUAGAUGAAGCCAAACCUAAGGAAAGUGCCCGACAGGAUGAGGGUAAAGAAGACCCCGAGGCUGACCAAGAACAUGCCUGAACUUUAAGAAACGGCUUUCCACGUUGCCCCCACCUGAACCCUGUCUCUCCUGCCCUUUCUCAGAUCCACUCUGAAGUUUCCUCUCCUGUCCUGCUCACGUGUGUGAGCCUGUCCUCUCCUACCUAUGAGCCCUCUCUCUCUGUGUGGCAAACAUUAAAAAAAAAAAAAAGCAGGAAAGAUCCCAAGUCCAACAGUGUGGCUUAAACAUUUGUUUCUUGGUGUUGUUAUGGCGAGUUUUUGGUAAUGAUGAUGCAGUCAUCUUGGGAAAUUCUUGCACUGUACCCCGGUUUUUUGAUCUGGUGCGUGUGGCCCUG